AUGGCUUUAGAAAUAGAAUCAUCUGAGUUGCCAAGAAUUACUAACGAUUUUUCGGACGCCCAAAAAGUUGGAAGUGGUGGCUAUGGAGACGUUUACAAGGCAGUCUACAAUGGGGAAGCCAUGGCAGUGAAGUUGCUUCAUGCGACCAAAGGAAUUGACGACAGACAAUUUAUGAAGGAACUCCGUAACCAUAUGAAGGUCCAACAUCCAAACAUUGUACGUCUAGUUGGGUAUUGCAAUGAAGAAACCAAGAAAUAUGUUGAGCUACCUGAUGGCACGUCUGUUUUUGGUAGACACAUAUACAAAGUGCUCUGCUUUGAAUAUAUGGUCGGCAGAAGCUUAGAUAAGCGUCUGUCUGGAAUUUCUCUGGGAGAUGAAUGGCGCACACAUUACCAAAUAAUAAAGGGGACUUGUGAAGGUUUGUGUUAUCUUCACAAUGGAUGUGAAAAUCGGAUCCUCCACUUGGAUCUAAAGCCUGCCAAUGUAUUACUUGACAAGAGCAUGAAACCGAAAAUUGCGGAUUUUGGACUGUCAAGGAUUUACACUGCAAGCCGUAGCCAUAUCAAAGUUGGUUCAGUUUCAGGGACAACGAAAUACAUGCCGCCUGAAUUAAUACAUGGGAGCGAGAUGUCAGACAAGACUGAUGUCUACGGUUUAGGUGUUACAAUCAUAGAAGUGUGUGCAUAUUGGAGGAAGAGGGAUAGCACAACAAAUUUAUAUCAAGUGGAGACAUGCGCCAAAAUUGCAGUACGUUGUCUCAAUCAUGAUAGAAGGAAGAGACCCACAAUAAAGGAGAUUGUAGAAAACUUGAAUGGUAUGGAAACUCAGGGUUUGAGCAAGGAUCUCCAUGCCCUCACGGUGAAUUCAUCCCUCCCAGUUCCAGACAAGAUGUCCAUUACCAUUUCAGGAAGGGGGGCACUGGAUGUGGUGAUUGUGUAUGCAUUUGAUUGUACUGACUCAACCCCAGCCUGGUACACAGCGGAUAAUGGGAUCUUUUGGUUGGUGCAAGAGAAGCUAACCAACUUGUGUGAUAGUUGCAUGGGCUAUAUUUACGUCAUGUCAACCCCUAACACAUACACGUCAGAUAUGAAAGUUGUUGACUCAGCUGAGACAAAGGAAACUGGAUACACGGGAUUCGCCUGGCGCAGGAUGACCUGCAGUAAAAAUAUGGCAUCAGGCCUUGCCGAGGCGCAUAAAAUGAUCAGCAAUCGUGGUCACCACAACGGCAUCAUAUUGUUCUUCUCGGAUGGGUUAAUAAACAAGGGCGACUUCUUUGAUGGAACAGAGAACUUUGUCUCCAAAGUGCCCGUCCACACAUUUACCCUCGGCGGGGACGCAUAUAACCAUGUUCUCCACUCCAUUGCGACCAAUUCUCCAGGUGGGAUGUUUCACACCAGUACCGUUCCAGAAAGGCCAAAUCUAUCAACACCCUUCUCAAAACUACUGGAUAGCCUCCUUGGCACUACCCCGAAGGACGAUGAGAUGCCUCUUAGUUCCAUUUCAGGAAGGGAGCCACUUGAUGUGGUGAUUGUGUAUGCCUUUGAUUGUACUCACUCGACCCCAGCCUGGCACACGGUGGAUAGUGGGGUAUUUUGGUUGGUGCAAGAGAAGCUGGCGCACUUUCCAGAUAGUUGCAUGGGUUACAUCUACGUCGACAUGACCCCAAACACAUACACAUCAGACAUGAAAGUAGUUGACCGCAAUGAGACAAAGGAAACUGGCUACACGAGUUUCGCGUGGCGUAGGAUAACCUGCACUAGAAACAUGUCAUCUGGACUUGCCGAGGCACAUAAAAUGAUCAGCAACCGCGGGCACCACAAUGGCAUCAUCUUGUUCUUCUCUAAUGGCAUGAUAAACAAGGGAGACUUCUUUGAUGGGACCGAGAACUUUGUCUCCAAAGUGCCUGUCCACACAUUUACCCUUGCCGGGGACGAAUAUAACCAUGUUCUCCACUCCAUUGCGAAAAAUUCUCCAGGUGGGAAGUUCCACACCAGCCCUGUUCCAGAAAGGCCAAACCUAUCAACAUCCUUCUCCAAGCUACUGGAUAACCUACUUGGCGGAACCCCAGAGGAUGAUGAGAGGCCUCUUAGUACCAUUUCAGGAAGGGGGCCACUAGAUGUGGUGAUUGUGUACGCCUUUGACUGCACUGAAUCAACCCCAGCCUGGUACACCGUGGAUAAUGGGAUCUUUUGGUUGCUUCAAGAGAAGUUGACGCACUUCCCUGAAAGUUGCAUGGGUUACAUCUACGUCGACAUGACCCCAAAUACAUACACGUCAGAUAUGAAAGUAGUUGACCCAAAUGAGACGAAGGAAACUGGCUACACGAGAUUCGCAUGGCGUAGAAUGACUUGUACUAAAAACAUGGCAUCAGGACUUGCCGACGCGCAUAAAAUGAUUAGCAACCGCGGGCACCACAAUGGCAUCAUCUUGUUCUUCUCUGAUGGCUUGAUAAACAAGGGGGACUUCUUUGAUGGAACUGAAAACUUUGUCUCCAAAGUGCCUGUCCACACAUUUACCCUCGGCGGGGACGCUUAUAACCAUGUUCUCCACUCCAUUGCAACAAAUUCUCCAGGCGGGAAGUUCCACACCAGCCCCGUUCCAGAAAGGCCAAACCUAUCAACAUCCUUCUCCAAGCUACUGGAUAGCCUACUUGGCGGAACCCCAGAGGAUUAUGAGAGGCCUUUUAGUUCCCUUUCAGGAAGGGAGCCACUCGAUGUGGUGAUUGUGUAUGCCUUUGACUGCACUGAAUCAACCCCAGCCUGGUACACGGUGGAUAAUGGGAUCUUUUGGUUGCUUCAAGAGAAGUUGACGCACUUCCCUGAAAGUUGCAUGGGUUACAUCUACGUCGACAUGACCCCAAACACAUACACAUCAGACAUGAAAGUAGUUGACCCAAAUGAGACGAAGGAAACUGGCUACACGAGAUUCGCAUGGCGUAGGAUGACUUGUACUAAAAACAUGGCAUCAGGACUUGCCGACGCGCAUAAAAUGACCAGCAACCGCGGGCACCACAAUGGCAUCAUCUUGUUCUUCUCUGAUGGCUUGAUAAACAAAGGGGACUUCUUUGAUGGAACUGAAAACUUUGUCUCCAAAGUGCCUGUCCACACAUUUACCCUCGGCGGGGAUGCAUAUAACCAUGUUCUCCACUCCAUUGCAACAAAUUCUCCAUGCGGGAAGUUCCACACCAGCCCCGUUCCAGAAAGGCCAAACCUAUCAACAUCCUUCUCCAAGCUACUGGAUAGCCUACUUGGCGGAACCCCAGAGGAUUAUGAGAGGCCUUUUAGUUCCCUUUCAGGAAGGGAGCCACUCGAUGUGGUUAUUGUGUAUGCCUUUGACUGCACUGACUCAACCCCAGCCUGGCACACGGUGGAUAAUGGGGUCUUUUGGUUGGUGCAAGAGAAGCUGACCCAUUUCCCUGAUAGUUGCAUGGGUUACGUCUACGUCGACGUCACCCCAAACACAUACACGUCGGACAUGAAAGUAGUUGACCCAGCCGAGACAAAGAAAACUGGCUACACGGGAUUCGCCCGGCGCAGGAUGACCUGUGGCAAAAACAUGGCAUCAGGCCUUGCCGAGGCGCAUAAAAUGCUCAGAAACCGUGGUUAUCACAACGGCAUAAUCUUGUUCUUCUCUGAUGGAUUAAUAAACAAGGGUGACUUUUUUUAUGGAACCGACAACUUCAUCUCCAAAGUGCCUGUCCACACAUUUACUGUUGGCGGCGACGCAUAUAACCAUGGUCUCCAAGCCAUCGCAGCAAAUUCUCCAGGUGGGACGUUCAACGCAAUUCCAGUUCCAGAGAGACCGCAUCUCUCAGUGCCCUUCUCGAAACUACUGGAUAGCCUCCUUAGCGGCACAAUGGAGGACAUAACUUGCAAGAACAAGCUGCUCUUUCUAUUCAGAGCAGCAACAGAGCUCUUAUUUGCAACCAUACCACAGUUUGAACAAACAAGACAACAGACCCUAAACCCUAAACAACCACUACUAAGCCAUGUGAACAUGAAUGGCAGGAUGACCAGUAGUACCAAGUGCAGCACCGCAGAUUCUCAUCUUGUAGGCAAGGGAAAAUUCCCCAGCAAGGAAGAUGGUCCGACCAGCAGGCCAGGCGAAGUGGACCAAAGCUCUAGUACUACAAACACAGUAGGACAAUUCCAAUCAGGAGAUCUAAUCAAGUGCAUUAAAGAUCAUGGGCAUGGAUAUGUCCACCAUGAUCACUUCCAGGAAAGCACAACAGAAGUAAUAGUUCUACUCAGUGCGCACAGUGGAGCAUCAUCAUCUAGAGCCUUUCUGCUUGCAUCGCUGGAGGUGAUGGUGACAAUUAAAGCUGACUCUCAUCCUCGUGGACUCUGUAUAGCACAUAAUCAAGUCCUGGCACAUCCAGAAUUAUCUUUUUGUGAUUCUACUUUAGGAAUCAUGCAAAUUUGGCGGAAAACUACAAUGAAACGAUGGGUCAGAGAACACUUCUGGAACUGGGAUUACUUGCUACUACUUGAAUUAGGGGAAGUGGACAUGCUUAGCAUUUACCAGGUCAGGGCUGCUGCCCACGGCUAUACGAACUUGGCGCUGGCCAGCGCUACUGCUAAAGUUUAA
This 4587-nucleotide ribosomal RNA is filed under the name Triticum aestivum (bread wheat). RNAcentral's name for it is "partial small subunit ribosomal RNA". The record is from RNAcentral. Lineage: Eukaryota; Viridiplantae; Streptophyta; Magnoliopsida; Poales; Poaceae.